RNAcentral lists this long non-coding RNA (3668 nucleotides) under Brassica rapa (field mustard). RNAcentral describes it as "long non-coding RNA (BRAP_LNC002103)". The record is from RNAcentral. Lineage: Eukaryota; Viridiplantae; Streptophyta; Magnoliopsida; Brassicales; Brassicaceae.
CAUAACGACAUUUCAUCAACAUGAAUAGGAUAUUACAUUGUUAUUUGUAAGUGAUACAAAUACAAUCAAUACUCUAAAAUGUUUUUAUAGAUUGCGACCGUGUACUCGAUUGCCACCGUUUAAAUUUCGAAAACAGGCAAUACACAAAAGGACAUAGACAAAAAAACUACUUCUCACUUCUGCUUCAUCUUUCCUUUUUUUCUCAAAAUUUGGCUCUUUUCCCACACUCCUUGGUUUCUUACAAUACAUUGUUGUCUUCUCGAAACCAUAACUAUUUGAUAUUCAUCCACCGUUGAUUCACUUAUCUCUCGUCUUCCAUGACUCAUGUACGGCCAGGAUUCAAGAUCACAAUACAGAAAAGACUUCACGCUGAUUAACAACAACAAACAUAUUUUAUCAUUUUGGCAGAAAAAAAAGAGUCUUGAUUCGAAAUUUGAGCGUGCUAAUGGUUUAAUCAAUUAAAGGGACAAAGAAAAGCAACUUUAUAAAAUCAGUAGUAAUCAGUAGAUUUAUACCAUUCUUGUCCAUCGCUUUGAAACACUUUUUUUUUAUUUUCUGAUAAAAGAAAAAAACACACCAACUUUAAGGUACAUCCAACGGUUACCAAUCGAUCUGGUCUAAGUUUGAAUCAUAGCCGUUUACAUUAUUUUGACCAAAGUGCUUAUUACAAAACGGUCCACACACUCUCUUUCCACUACAAAGUACUAGCAGUCUUGAAAAAAACACAAACCCAUCACCUUUCUCUCUCUCAGAAGUGGGCAUGGCUUCACUGAGAUUCCUUCAUGUCUUCUCCUUCUUCCAUCUCAUUAUCAACUGCCACUCUCUCUCCACCUCCUCCGAUGUGAAGCUUCUCGUGGGAAAGAUCAAACCUUCCCUCCAAGGCACCAGCGAGAGCCUCCUCUUGUCUUCUUGGAACUCAUCUGUUCCCGUCUGCCAAUGGAGAGGGGUAAAAUGGGUAUUCUCAGACGGCUCCCCUCUCCAAUGCACCGCCCUCUCUUCACCCCCAACCCAAUGGACAAACCUCUCUCUCUACAACGACUCCUCCCUCCACCUCCUCUCUCUCCAGCUCCCUUCCGCUAACCUCACCGGCUCCCUCCCCGGAGAGCUCGGCGAGUUCUCCAUGCUCCGAAGCCUCUUCCUCAACAUCAACGCCUUGAGCGGGCCCCUCCCUCUCGAGCUCGGCUACGCUUCCUCUCUCUCUGAUAUCGACCUGAGCGGUAACGCCCUAACCGGCGCCUUCCCUCCGUCGAUUUGGAACCUCUGCGAGAACCUCGUCUCAUUAAAGCUUCACGGUAACUCCUUCUCCGGGGCCUUGCCUGAGCCCGCCUUGCCGAACUCGACUUGUGGUAGUCUCCGAGUUCUUGAUUUGGGUGGUAAUAAGCUCUCAGGCGAGUUCCCUGAGUAUGUAACAAAGUUUAAAGCUCUGAAGAUGCUUGAUCUUUCGAGUAACGUCUUUCAAGGCUCUGUUCCCGAUGGUUUGGGGUUGUUACAGCUAGAAACUCUCGAUCUUUCUCACAAUAACUUUAGUGGGAUGCUGCCGAGUUUCUUCGGUGAAUCUAAGUUUGGAGCUGAGUCUUUCCAAGGGAACAGUCCCAGCCUCUGUGGUUUUCCUUUGAAGCCGUGUCUAGGCUCCUCUCGGUUGAGUCCUGGCGCUGUUGCUGGACUGGUGAUAGGUUUAAUGUCUGGAGCCGUUGUUGUCGCGUCGUUGCUGAUAGGGUACUUGCAGAACAAGAAGAGGAAGAGUAGUAUAGAGAGUGAAGAUGAUUUGGAAGAAGGCGACGAAGAAGAUGAGAUUGAUGGUGGUGGUGGUCAGGGUGAAGGGAAGCUAGUUGUGUUCCAAGGCGGUGAGAAUCUGACGUUGGAGGAAGUUUUGAACGCGACGGGGCAAGUCAUGGAGAAGACUAACUACGGUACGGUCUACAAGGCGAAGCUUAGUGAUGGUGGGAAUAUUGCGUUGAGGCUGUUGAGAGAAGGUACUUGCAAGGACAGAAGCUCUUGUCUGCCUGUUAUAAAGCAGUUAGGGCGGAUUCGGCACGAGAAUCUGGUUCCUCUGAGAGCUUUCUAUCAGGGGAAGAGAGGAGAGAAGCUUCUCAUCUAUGACUACAUCCCCAACAUAAGCUUACAUGACUUGUUGCACGGUAUGGUAACAUUAUUCCCAACAUAAGUUCGAAUGACCACUGGGACGAAACUAAUAUUACAUGUUGAUUCUGCCCGAACCUCCUGGUAAUUCAAAAAAAUAAAAAAGUAUUCAUGUGUUGUUUGAAUGAUUGUGCAGAAAGUAAACCGGGGAAGCCGGCUUUGAACUGGGCCAGGAGACACAAGAUUGCGUUGGGGAUAGCGAGAGGACUUGCUUAUCUUCACACCGGACAAGAAGCUCCCAUCAUCCACGGCAAUAUAAGAUCGAAAAACGUGCUGGUGGAUGACUUCUUCUUCGCUAGGCUGACUGAGUUUGGGCUUGAUAAGAUCAUGGUGCAAGCGGUGGCGGAUGAGAUAGUCUCGCAGGCGAAAUCAGACGGGUACAAGGCGCCUGAGCUUCACAAGAUGAAGAAAUGCAACCCGAGAAGCGAUGUUUACGCCUUUGGGAUCCUUCUUUUGGAGAUACUGAUGGGUAAGAAGCCUGGGAAGAGUGGGAGGAACGGUGGUGAGUAUGUUGAUCUGCCUUCUUUGGUUAAAGCCGCGGUGUUGGAGGAGACGACGAUGGAGGUUUUCGACUUGGAGGCGAUGAAAGGGAUCAGGAGUCCGAUGGAGGAAGGUUUGGUUCAUGCGUUGAAGCUGGCGAUGGGAUGCUGUGCUCCUGUUACGACGGUUAGACCGAGUAUGGAAGAGGUUGUGAAGCAGUUGGAAGAGAACAGGCCGAGGAAUAGAUCAGCGUUGUAUAGCCCUACGGAAACGAGGAGCGACGCUGAGACACCAUGCUGAGUUUGGUUUCUGUUGUUAUACAAAGCAUUUUGUAAUUCUCCCACUUUUGUUGUUGGUUAUAUGCAUUUGUUUCAUAGGAAAGGUACCCAUUCUGAUUUUGUUUUGAUUUUUAGUUUUAUCUUUUGUCAAUGACAGUGGUUUUAACAAAAGCAGAAGAAGCUAAUAUGAUGAAUCUACUUCAGUUUCGGUCUUGGGUUUUGAGGGUUAUGCUAUUAAAACUAAUAUGAAGAAACUAAAACUGCGUAUCAAGACCACGUUCGACAGUACAAACAAACUUUUUUAUAUUUCACUAUAAAAUAGUUGGAUUUGUUUUAAUGGUUCAUUCUAUGGAAUAAUGUUACUUUUUUACUCUAAAUAUAAAGUAAAACAAUAACAUUAAUCCAUAUUUUAUUUUAUUAUAUAGUGAACCAUUGAACCAAAUCUAACUCUAUAAUAUAAUUACUUUAUUUUGGUGUGAAAUAUAGAUAAAAUUUUUGUAUGCCAUUAAAAAUAUUCUAAUCAAGCAUUUAAGAGCACCAAAAGUUAAGCAUAGCAACAUAAGAAUGCAGAAACCUAUGCUUCCACUAACAACACGAAAUAGUAGAAAAAUUCGAGAAUCUCUGAGCUUACAUUGUCAAUGCAUUUACAUGGACAAAGAAUGCUAGAAUUAUUACCAGUUGCUGAGAGAGCGAAAAAGCUUCUCGAGACUGUCAUUGUUGGAUAUAUUGAAGCUCUCUCUCCUUUGUUUGCAGGAGAAAUGAGGAGAGAGC